GUCGAGCUAAGUAGCGGUAGCUUGUAACCCGAGUGGGGACGAUAAGAUGGUGGAACACUGGUUCGGUGUCACGGGUCGGUUCUGGUUUGGCAUGUUUCUGAGCUGCCCAGUCCAAGCUGUGAGUAGUCUGUGUGUGUCGAGCGAAGGCUUGGCUCAGGCAGGUUCUAAAGUCGGAGGGUAAUGCGUGAGGCUGGUUUCACAGAGCAGCGAUCACUUCCCGCUUACAGCAGUGGACGGAUUACGGUUCAGCGCCGGUCAGAUCCACUAUGGCUCGCUGGUUCGAUCUCUCAGCUGAACCACCAUUUUU
RNAcentral lists this signal recognition particle RNA (307 nucleotides) under Capsella rubella. RNAcentral describes it as "Plant signal recognition particle RNA". It matches the Rfam family "Plant signal recognition particle RNA". The record is from Rfam by way of RNAcentral. Lineage: Eukaryota; Viridiplantae; Streptophyta; Magnoliopsida; Brassicales; Brassicaceae.